Molecule: ribosomal RNA, 2918 nt
Filed under: Pseudomonas syringae pv. atrofaciens
Lineage: Bacteria; Pseudomonadati; Pseudomonadota; Gammaproteobacteria; Pseudomonadales; Pseudomonadaceae
Description: bacterial LSU rRNA
Rfam family: Bacterial large subunit ribosomal RNA
Source: RNAcentral
GUUAUAUGGUCAAGUGAAGAAGCGCAUACGGUGGAUGCCUUGGCAGUCAGAGGCGAUGAAAGACGUGGUAGCCUGCGAAAAGCUUCGGGGAGUCGGCAAACAGACUGUGAUCCGGAGAUGUCUGAAUGGGGGAACCCAGCCAUCAUAAGAUGGUUAUCUUGUACUGAAUACAUAGGUGCAAGAGGCGAACCAGGGGAACUGAAACAUCUAAGUACCCUGAGGAAAAGAAAUCAACCGAGAUUCCCUUAGUAGUGGCGAGCGAACGGGGACCAGCCCUUAAGUUGUAUUGAGAUUAGCGGAACGUUCUGGAAAGGACGGCCAUAGUGGGUGAUAGCCCUGUACGCGAAAAUCCCUUUGCAAUGAAAUCGAGUAGGACGGGGCACGAGAAACCUUGUCUGAAUAUGGGGGGACCAUCCUCCAAGGCUAAAUACUACUGACUGACCGAUAGUGAACCAGUACCGUGAGGGAAAGGCGAAAAGAACCGCGGAGAGCGGAGUGAAAUAGAUCCUGAAACCGUAUGCGUACAAGCAGUGGGAGCCCACUUUGUUGGGUGACUGCGUACCUUUUGUAUAAUGGGUCAGCGACUUAUUUUCAGUGGCGAGCUUAACCGAAUAGGGGAGGCGUAGCGAAAGCGAGUCUUAAUAGGGCGUCUAGUCGCUGGGAAUAGACCCGAAACCGGGCGAUCUAUCCAUGGGCAGGUUGAAGGUUGGGUAACACUAACUGGAGGACCGAACCGACUACCGUUGAAAAGUUAGCGGAUGACCUGUGGAUCGGAGUGAAAGGCUAAUCAAGCUCGGAGAUAGCUGGUUCUCCUCGAAAGCUAUUUAGGUAGCGCCUCAUGUAUCACUGUAGGGGGUAGAGCACUGUUUCGGCUAGGGGGUCAUCCCGACUUACCAAACCGAUGCAAACUCCGAAUACCUACAAGUGCCGAGCAUGGGAGACACACGGCGGGUGCUAACGUCCGUCGUGAAAAGGGAAACAACCCAGACCGUCAGCUAAGGUCCCAAAGUCAUGGUUAAGUGGGAAACGAUGUGGGAAGGCUUAGACAGCUAGGAGGUUGGCUUAGAAGCAGCCACCCUUUAAAGAAAGCGUAAUAGCUCACUAGUCGAGUCGGCCUGCGCGGAAGAUGUAACGGGGCUCAAACCAUGCACCGAAGCUACGGGUAUCAUCUUUUGAUGAUGCGGUAGAGGAGCGUUCUGUAAGCCUGUGAAGGUGAGUUGAGAAGCUUGCUGGAGGUAUCAGAAGUGCGAAUGCUGACAUGAGUAACGACAAUGGGUGUGAAAAACACCCACGCCGAAAGACCAAGGUUUCCUGCGCAACGUUAAUCGACGCAGGGUUAGUCGGUCCCUAAGGCGAGGCUGAAAAGCGUAGUCGAUGGAAAACAGGUUAAUAUUCCUGUACUUCUGGUUAUUGCGAUGGAGGGACGGAGAAGGCUAGGCCAGCCUGGCGUUGGUAGUCCAGGUUUAAGGUGGUAGGCUGAGAUCUUAGGUAAAUCCGGGAUCUUAAGGCCGAGAGCUGAUGACGAGUGUUCUUUUAGAACACGAAGUGGUUGAUGCCAUGCUUCCAAGAAAAGCUUCUAAGCUUCAGGUAACCAGGAACCGUACCCCAAACCGACACAGGUGGUUGGGUAGAGAAUACCAAGGCGCUUGAGAGAACUCGGGUGAAGGAACUAGGCAAAAUGGCACCGUAACUUCGGGAGAAGGUGCGCCGGUGGAGGUGAAGCAUUUACUGCGUAAGCCCCUGCCGGUCGAAGAUACCAGGCCGCUGCGACUGUUUAUUAAAAACACAGCACUCUGCAAACACGAAAGUGGACGUAUAGGGUGUGACGCCUGCCCGGUGCCGGAAGGUUAAUUGAUGGGGUUAGCGCAAGCGAAGCUCUUGAUCGAAGCCCCGGUAAACGGCGGCCGUAACUAUAACGGUCCUAAGGUAGCGAAAUUCCUUGUCGGGUAAGUUCCGACCUGCACGAAUGGCGUAACGAUGGCGGCGCUGUCUCCACCCGAGACUCAGUGAAAUUGAAAUCGCUGUGAAGAUGCAGUGUAUCCGCGGCUAGACGGAAAGACCCCGUGAACCUUUACUAUAGCUUUGCACUGGACUUUGAAUUUGCUUGUGUAGGAUAGGUGGGAGGCUUUGAAGCGUGGACGCCAGUUCGCGUGGAGCCAACCUUGAAAUACCACCCUGGCAACUUUGAGGUUCUAACUCAGGUCCGUUAUCCGGAUCGAGGACAGUGUAUGGUGGGUAGUUUGACUGGGGCGGUCUCCUCCUAAAGAGUAACGGAGGAGUACGAAGGUGCGCUCAGACCGGUCGGAAAUCGGUCGUAGAGUAUAAAGGCAAAAGCGCGCUUGACUGCGAGACAGACACGUCGAGCAGGUACGAAAGUAGGUCUUAGUGAUCCGGUGGUUCUGUAUGGAAGGGCCAUCGCUCAACGGAUAAAAGGUACUCCGGGGAUAACAGGCUGAUACCGCCCAAGAGUUCAUAUCGACGGCGGUGUUUGGCACCUCGAUGUCGGCUCAUCACAUCCUGGGGCUGAAGCCGGUCCCAAGGGUAUGGCUGUUCGCCAUUUAAAGUGGUACGCGAGCUGGGUUUAGAACGUCGUGAGACAGUUCGGUCCCUAUCUGCCGUGGACGUUUGAGAUUUGAGAGGGGCUGCUCCUAGUACGAGAGGACCGGAGUGGACGAACCUCUGGUGUUCCGGUUGUCACGCCAGUGGCAUUGCCGGGUAGCUAUGUUCGGAAAAGAUAACCGCUGAAAGCAUCUAAGCGGGAAACUUGCCUCAAGAUGAGAUCUCACUGGAACCUUGAGUUCCCUAAAGGGCCGUCGAAGACUACGACGUUGAUAGGUUGGGUGUGUAAGCGCUGUGAGGCGUUGAGCUAACCAAUACUAAUUGCCCGUGAGGCUUGACCAUAUAACACCCAAGCAAUU